GACGAACGCUGGCGGCGUGCCUAAUACAUGCAAGUUGAGCGCUGAAGGUUGCUACUUGUACCGACUGGAUGAGCAGCGAACGGGUGAGUAACGCGUGGGGAAUCUGCCUUUGAGCGGGGGACAACAUUUGGAAACGAAUGCUAAUACCGCAUAAAAACUUUAAACACAAGUUUUAAGUUUGAAAGAUGCAAUUGCAUCACUCAAAGAUGAUCCCGCGUUGUAUUAGCUAGUUGGUGAGGUAAAGGCUCACCAAGGCGAUGAUACAUAGCCGACCUGAGAGGGUGAUCGGCCACAUUGGGACUGAGACACGGCCCAAACUCCUACGGGAGGCAGCAGUAGGGAAUCUUCGGCAAUGGACGAAAGUCUGACCGAGCAACGCCGCGUGAGUGAAGAAGGUUUUCGGAUCGUAAAACUCUGUUGGUAGAGAAGAACGUUGGUGAGAGUGGAAAGCUCAUCAAGUGACGGUAACUACCCAGAAAGGGACGGCUAACUACGUG
RNAcentral lists this ribosomal RNA (497 nucleotides) under uncultured bacterium. Its description in RNAcentral is "partial 16S ribosomal RNA". It matches the Rfam family "Bacterial small subunit ribosomal RNA", at positions 28 to 507 of the family's 1533-position model. The record is from RNAcentral.